UGUGGGUGGCGAGCGGCAGAUUUGGAUUCCCGCUCACGGCCACCGUCAGUGGCGAGCGAGCGCUUCUGAAGCGGCGGCUCGCUGGGCCUCCUCUAGGUCGACUCAGCCUGAAGCGUGUGUGCUACAGGUGGGUGUCUCGGAUUGCCAGCGCCAUGUGACGGAGCUCCAGGGCGUGCUGCGUGCCCGCCAGGAGGGGCUUGGUGAGAUGCUCUCACCCUGACUGAGCGCGGGAACACAGUGGGGCGGCACCAGCGGGACUCCCUGGACAACGCAGCCAAGUUCCUUGGCACAAGACCGAACAGCGCAGCGACUCGUGCAGCAGCAACGACCCAAGGGACAGCCUUCGCCACACACUCUGGAGGAGAAGAGGCUCCUCGGGCAGAGUAACACAGCUCAAGACGCGCGCUCAUUCGCGGAAACCGUGUGGGAACAACCUGCUGAGGCACAACCAGCCAACGACACCACUUAUGCAUCACAUGAAGAUGCAGCCUGUCCAUACAUUUGUGCAGGUGUGAUGGAAGUGUUUUCCCGUUUUGGUGCAUGCUAGAUUUUUAUCGAUAACUACCGACAAACGGUAGAAAUUGGCGGGCAUUACCCUGAGCAACGCAAGACGAAUGGGCAUUUUAAAGCAGAACUAUGCCACUUACUGACAUUUGUCGUUAGUUGAAUGCCUGGCGGGGGGUGACUUGUGUCCGUUUUCGAGAGGGGAAGCCGACCCAUGUAUAUGUAACGGGCGAUUUUUGCGACCGUUAAGGCCCCAAAGGCUGCUUUUCUCCUUAACUUGUAUCUAGAGAGGGAAACGUCGGACAUGUAUCGUAUGUAGGUUUUUUACGAAUUUUCAAGACGAAUCCAACGCCAUGAUUUGUGAAGGUGUAAAACGUUUUUUUAGGCAAUUUUAUUCCUUUCUGUUUCUCACGGGGAUAUUUCUGCAUGCCCUUGAAGGUUGAAAAAGCCACUUGCGAAACAAACCACAAACCAAAUCCAGCUAAUUUAUGAAUGACUGAGCGCCCUGCUUCCUCAAGAACAUGCUAUUUAUCGGCAGAUGAAAUUUACUCGGGCUAUUCCAGCAGAUGCAUGUACACUCAAGAAAGUAAAUAUUUUGAGCGAUAGGCUCCAUGGAACGACAAAACUUGGUGGGGAUUACUCUCAUGUGUGUCACGGGGCAUCCUUUAUCUUACACCACCUUCCUUCUGCCUGAGAAAAUGGUCAUUUUUGAGUUACCUCCGACAGAGGCGUCCAUUAAAAGUGCAUUGGAAUGGCAAGUUUCAAAAAUGUGACGACGUUCUGCGUCACCGACCUCUGGAGCAGCUCCAGCUGGGCAGCGAUGCCGCGCCACACGUCUGAUGGUGGCGCCACAGCUUCCCCGGCCGCCGCCUCCUCCGGCUCCAGCCGGGCCACCUCCACGGGGCACAUUUCCGGGGCCCCGAUCUCCGGGAUCUUCGUCGUCCUCUUCGUUCGUCUAUACACCAGGCUCAGUCUUCCGUCUCGCGCCGGACUUCGACAUGGUCGUGAGCACGGAAGCCACUUCCGACACCAGUGGUUGAGGUGUGAAGAAUGACACGAAGGCCGACGUUGUAGGGGCUAACGCAGGGGUGGGCAAACUUUUUGACUCGCGGGCCACAAUGGGUUCUAAAAUUUGACAGAGGGGCCGGGCCAGGAACAGGUGGCUGGAGUGUUUGUGUGAACUAAUAUAAAUGACAUGUAAAAAUCAUUACAUGAAAGGAUGUGGCCUUUAACAGGUAGCAAAGCAUUUAUUUGCAAGGCAAUUUAACAAAUUGCACGAACAUGAACAAUACAAAACAUGUUGUAACGUGACUGAUCAAACAUCAUGAAAACAUCUGAGCCCUGUGCCAAACCAAUUACCUCACUUGAACUUCUUUAUUAUCUACAUUAACAGGUUAGAGCAGCCACGCAGACUGUGUUGCGGAGAUUUGGCUCCAACCUCGCUGCAGCAACACAUAAUCACUUUCAGUUUCAAUGAGAACAGUGUUGUUGAUCUCCCAUUUUUGCCAGUGCAUCCAAGUCUGGAGUUAUUUUGGUUGUGGCAAUUCUCAGGAUAGAUCUGAGGUGCUGAUCCGUUAACUUUGAUCUGUGACGGGCUUUGUUGGCGUUCAUGACACUGAAUGUCUGCUCGCACACAUAAGUCGAGCCAAACAAAGUCGGUAUCUUCUGUGCAGUCCUCCGGAGGUUUGGAAACGUGGCCCUGUUAAGUGAAGCAUAAAAGUCAUUCAGUUUAACAGAGUUGAACUUCUCCUUUAAGACGGAGCCAGACUGAAGAUAUUUCAGUUCCAACUGCAGCUCCUGUGGUGCUGUUUCAGGGUCUUGUGACAGGGGACAGGACACCAGCUGAAGUGACUGUUCAAUGUUUUCGAAAUCAGAGAACCUACGGCAGAAUUCUCCAUGCAGGUCCUCAAGUGAUUUGAUGUAUUUUUUUGCAUUUCGCGGUGCCUCUUCCUGCAUGGCAAGUGUAGGGAAAUGAGCAAAAGAUUUGUUCGCAAUUUGUCCGGAGAACAAAGUGCGCUGGAUUUGAAGGCUUUCACAUGUUUGUACAUGUCGUGAACAAACUGAUCUUUCCCCUGCAGUUUCACUUUCAGCUCAUUCAUGUGUGAAAAUAUGUCCACAGCAAACGCAAAGUCACUAAGCCAGUUCUUGUCGCUUAGCUCAAGGAAUUCGUCAGAUUUCCCCAUCAACUCCAAAAAUGCGAUGAUAUCUUCUUUCAGCUCCCACACUCGUUGUAACACUUUCCCCAAACUUAACCAGCGGACACGAGAGUGGUACAGCAAGUCCUGAUGAUCCGCAUCAGUUUCCUCCAGGAAGGUAACAAACUGACGGUGCUGAAGUCCCCUUGCUCGUAUACAGUUCACAAGUUUUACGACUGGAUUCACGACAUGAUUAAGCUGCAAUACAGACUUACACAGGGAUUCCUGUUGGAUGAUGCAGCGAAGGAAAAUAAGAUCCUGAACAGGGUUUUUCUCUUUCACUUUAUCCUGGAUUCUUUUCAGCAGCCCAACA
Molecule: long non-coding RNA, 3012 nt
Organism: Lethenteron reissneri (Far Eastern brook lamprey)
Lineage: Eukaryota; Metazoa; Chordata; Hyperoartia; Petromyzontiformes; Petromyzontidae
Source: RefSeq, a predicted model, not a curated record